UACGUAGGGGGCAAGCGUUGUCCGGAAUUAUUGGGCGUAAAGCGCGCGCAGGCGGUCAUUUAAGUCUGGUGUUUAAUCCUGGGGCUCAACCCCAGUUCGCAUCGGAAACUGGACGACUUGAGUGUAAGAGAGGAAAGUGGAAUUCCACGUGUAGCGGUGAAAUGCGUAGAGAUCGGGAGGAACAUCUGUGGCGAAGGCGGCCAUCUGGACCAGCACUGACACUGAGGCACGAAAGCGUGGGGAGCAAACAGG
RNAcentral lists this ribosomal RNA (252 nucleotides) under uncultured bacterium. RNAcentral describes it as "partial 16S ribosomal RNA". It matches the Rfam family "Bacterial small subunit ribosomal RNA", at positions 524 to 776 of the family's 1533-position model. The record is from RNAcentral.